Non-coding RNA from Pimephales promelas (fathead minnow), 6652 nucleotides. NCBI's taxonomy places the organism in Eukaryota, Metazoa, Chordata, Actinopteri, Cypriniformes, Leuciscidae. The record is from RefSeq and is a predicted model, not a curated record.
GUCCUUUAAGGAAUUUAGAGUCAUGUGAUGAUGCCAUUUCCUAUUAAGUCACUUCCUGUUUGUCCUUCCUGGUACUGCAUGGAAACAAGGAGACAGACAUGGUGUGCUCUUGGUGUUGAAUCCACUUGCAUCCACCUUAAAGCAUCAUAGAGGCAAUGCUGUAAGUUUGUUUAUGUGAUUUUAGAUAUUAAAGGUCAUGUAUUAGUAGAUAUUUUGUUAAAAUGAUGAUGUUUGAGAUUGUUAAAAUUAUGCUGUGUACAAGUUCUCAGAGAUGUUGAUGGCAUGUGUAGCUGCUGCUGUUACAAUGAGAAUUGCAUUGUAUAUUCAUUUUAUUCACAAUGGGAUGUUACUUAAGAAAUGGACACUGAAUAUUGCUGUAUUGUUUUUUAUUACAGUUUUCACCUACAUGUAAAUGAGGAAGUGUGACAGUAAAUGAUCAACCUUACUACGACUCUGUCUUCAUUUGCAACGGUUUAACUUGGUGUUUAGUCAGAGUUUCAAAACCCUGCACGAGAACAUUACAGUGAAAAAGCACCGUUUGAUGUUCAAAGUGGUUAAGAUGGCAUCAAGCAGCAAGUCGUCUGUGUGCAGCGCUAGAAGCAGCAAGUCAUCCGCAGCAACUGUGAGUGCAGCCCAAGCCCGGGCCAGAGCUGAAGCUGCUAAGGUGAGAGCGUCAUAUGCUAGUCAAGAGGCUAAACUGAAGAUGGAAAAGGCUGCAAGAGAAGCUCAAAAUCAGCUGGAAACAGUAAGAAUAGACACAGAGUUGGAUGUGUUAACAUUACAUCGAGAAGCUGAUGUGGCUGCAGCGGAAGCACAAGUGCUGGAAGAUGCAGAACUGCUAACACAUGCUGCAGUUGAAAGAGGAGGUUCUGAAACAGAGAAAGUUAAAAUUGAGCGUAUCAGUGAAUAUGUCAAUUCUCAAAUCAACUUUCAAAGUAAUUUUCCCUCUCCUCUCUUACAUGUCGCUCCUCCAUCCCAUGCUGACUUGCAUAGUAGUUUCAUAACAUGGAGCCCGCCUGCGGAAUAUGUUUCACCUACACAGUCUAUUAAAAGCAAGCCAAAGUCUGAGAAAGCUGAUAGCAACUUACCAGCAGUAAACUUACCGGAUUUGUCUACUGGUGUGAAGAAGUCAGAAGUCAGAAACACAGCCUCCAUCAUGAACGCACAUGCUAAGUCAUAUGUUCCUCGAUAUAUUGCUCCAGCUGGCACGCCACCUCAUGCAGAGCCUUUGGCACAGUAUUUAGCAAGACGGGACCUUGUUAAUUCAGGAUUGUACCAAUUUGAUGAUAAGCCAGAGAAUUACCUGUCAUGGUAUUCCUCAUUCAGCAGUGCAGCUCGUGAAGUUCACCUCACAGCAACUCAAGAAUUGGACCUCAUGACUAAAUGGUUAGGAAAGGAAUCUGGCCAACUGGUGAAACGCAUCCGCUCUGUGCAUGUCAGUAAUCCCAAUCUUGCUUUAUAUAAAGCGUGGGAUAGACUAGGUGAGUGCUAUGCUGCGCCAGAAGUCAUUGAAAAGUCAUUGUUUCAGCGGUUGGACAGUUUUCCAAAGAUUUCUGCUAAAGAUCACAUCAAAUUACGUGAACUUGGAGACUUGUUAAUGGAAAUCCAAGGUGCCAAAGAAGAUGGUUAUCUAACAGGUUUGUCAUACCUCGACACCUCACGUGGAAUUGCUCCUAUUGUUGAGAAACUUCCAUAUGGGCUUCAGGACAAGUGGGUGACUUCUGGGUCAUGGUACAAAGAAAACAAUCAUGGUCACUUCCCUCCCUUUGAGUUUUUCUGUAACUUUCUGUGUUCUGAGGCAAAGAAGCGAAACGACCCAAGCUUUAUGUACCAAAGCAGUGCUACAACACCCAUGAAACCAGACAGAUCCAUUGUGAAGAGUUUCCAUUCUAACAAACUCAUAUCAGUGCACAAAACAGAUUUGUGUGCAGUCAAUGACGAUCCAAACAAAAUCUGUCCAUUGCACAAUAAACCGCACCCUCUGAAAAAAUGCAGAACAUUCAGAAACAAACUCCUUAAUGAGAGAAAAGCCUUCCUUAAGGAAAAAGGAAUUUGUUUCAAAUGCUGUUCUUCAAUCUUUCACCUCGCUAAAGAGUGCAAGUCUUCCGUGAAGUGCACUGAAUGCGGCAGCAUAUAUCAUGAUGCGGCCAUGCACCCUGGUUCAACACUUCAAGCAGUCAAGGCUCCUUCACCAUCACCAGAGGACGGCGGGGAGGGAGAAGAUGAUUUUAACACAGCUGUAGUUUGCACAAGCUGUACAGAAGUUUGCAGUCCAGGUCAGUGGAGCCGCUCAUGUUCAAAAAUCUGCCUUGUGAAGAUAUACCCCAAGGGUUCCAAGGACAUGGCCAUCAAAGCCUAUGUAAUUUUGGACGAUCAGAGCAAUCGUUCAUUAGCCAGACCAGAGUUCUUCGAGCUGUUUGAUGUGGAGAGCAAGCCAUUCUCAUAUCAUCUCAGGACUUGCUCUGGUACCCAAGAAACAUCUGGCAAGAAAGCAGAAGGAUUUCAGAUUGAGUCACUGGAUGGAAAAGUUCUCAUCUCUCUUCCACCACUCAUUGAGUGUCAUGAGAUUGUAAAUAAUCGGUCUGAAAUUCCAACGCCGUGUGCAGUUCUACACCAGCCUCAUCUCCGACACAUUGCUAAGGAUAUCCCAGAGCUGGAUCCAGGAGCAGAAAUACUGCUGCUACUUGGAAGAGAUGUCAUCAGGGCACACAAGGUCAGGCAGCAGGUCAAUGGACCAAAUAACGCCCCCUUUGCCCAACGACUAGACCUGGGCUGGGUAGUAAUAGGAGAUGUGUGUCUGGGUAAUGUACAUAAGCCAAUGGUCAACACAUUCAAGACCAAUGUGCUAGAAAAUGGUCGCCAUUCAAUCUUUCUACCCUGCAAAAGCUUCAUGCAAGUCAAGGAGAUGCAGCCAAGCUGUAACAUGUCUGCCAGGGUAACUGAAAAGACGUUGGCACAGACAGUGUUUAACAGAACUGAGCAUGACUAUAAACUUGCUCCAUCAGUGGAAGACACGGCUUUCCUGAAAAUAAUGGACACAAACGUCUACAGAAACGAGGCAAACAGUUGGGUAGCUCCUCUGCCGUUUAGAGAACCACGACAGCCCUUGCCAAACAAUAAAAAGCAAGCAGUGAACCGAUUUACAAUCCUGCAACGUACUCUUAAGAGGAAACCUGAGAUGCAACAACAGUAUGUGGAAUUUAUGAAAAAGAUCUUUGCUAAUGGACAUGCUGAGCUAGCACCGCCACUGAGAGAAGAUGAAGGAUGUUGGUAUCUUCCAACAUUUGGGGUCUAUCAUCCACAAAAACCCAAUCAGAUCAGGGUGGUCUUUGAUUCCAGUGCUCAAUGCUCAGGUGUUUCUCUCAAUAACGUGCUCCUUACAGGCCCAGACCUCAACAACUCCCUUGUAGGCGUUCUGCUACGCUUUCGUAAAGAGAAGAUUGCAAUCCUAGCGGACAUUCAGCAGAUGUUCUACUCUUUCUUAGUGUGUGAAGACCACCGCAACUUCCUUCGUUUUCUAUGGCAUAAGGACAAUGAUGUCAACAAGGAAAUAGUUGAAUAUCGAAUGAAGGUCCAUGUCUUUGGCAAUGGGCCAUCGCCUGCUGUGGCAAUUUACGGACUUCGAAGAGCUAUCAGAGAAGGCGCAGAGAAGUAUGGUGUGGAUACUGUCAGGUUUGUGGAAAGACAUUUCUAUGUUGAUGAUGGCUUGAUAUCCUUACCAUCUGAAGCUGAGGCAAUUGAUUUGCUCCAACGAACACAGGCCUCACUAGCUGAGUCAAACAUCCGUUUACACAAGUUCGCUUCGAACGCUCAGAUAGUCAUGGAAGCUUUCCCACCCGAAGAUUGUGUUCCAGUAAUUAAGGACCUAGAUCUGAGUGGAGAGACUUACCCCACACAACGGAGCUUAGGUCUGCUGUGGGAGAUCAUGAAUGACACCUUCACUUACUCUGCAUCGACCAUUAACAAACCAUUCACUCGUCGUGGAGUCCUCUCCACGGUCAACAGUAUUUUCGAUCCUUUGGGUUUACUGGCACCUGUCACAAUCCAAGGAAGAGCCCUUCUCAGAGAACUUACCUCUGAAUUGUCAGACUGGGACACAACUCUCCCAGAAGAGAAGCUAAGCAGAUGGGAAGCCUGGAGAGAUUCACUCCAAGAUUUAAAACAGCUUCAUGUUUGCCGUAUGUAUACAACAACCUCACUCACUGAAGCAGUGCACACAGAAUUGUGUGUAUUCUCGGAUGCAUCGACCAUGGCUAUAGGUGCUGUGGCGUAUCUGAAAGCACUUCAGAAGGAUGGAAAAGUUGAAGUAGGAUUAGUUAUGGGCAAGGCAAAACUAGCACCUCUGUCUGAACCUACCAUCCCAAGGCUAGAGCUGUGCGCUGCUGUCUUAGCAGUAGAGAUGGCAGAUCUCAUUAAAGAUGAGCUGGAUCUAAAGUUGGAUGACAUAAAGUUCUUCACCGAUAGCAAAGUGGUGCUCGGCUACAUUUAUAACGAGUCAAAACGAUUCUAUGUGUAUGUUCACAAUAGAGUCCAACGUAUCCAUCAGUCCUCAAGACCUGAGCAGUGGCAUUAUGUACAUACAGAAGAAAAUCCUGCUGAUCAUGCAUCAAGAUCCUUACCUGCAUCUGGCCUGGUGCAGACUUCCUGGUUUACCGGUCCUUCCUUCCUGUAUCAGCCACAUGCAGAGAAAAUAAAAACAAGUGAGACAUUUCAGCUAAUUGAACCUGAAAAAGAUUCAGAAAUCCGACCGCAAGUACAAAGCUGUGCUACUAACCUGGAAGAGCCAGAGCUCACCUCUGACCGAUUCCAACGAUUCUCAACCUUUACAUCUUUGGUAAGAGGAGUAGCAUUUCUAGUUCACAUGGCAAAAUCUUGCAAACACACAAACCAAAACAGAAAAUGCAAAGGUUGGCACAGAUGUGACUUACCUCAUACUCCGGAUGAAAUGGACCAAGCAAGGAAUGUUAUCCUUCAAGCAACACAAAAAUCAGCGUUUUCAAAAGAACUGUCAGCCCUCCAAGCUAACCAGGCAGUAUCCAAAAGUAGCCGCUUACGGAAGCUCAGUCCGAUCAUGGAGGACAAUUUAAUUUGUGUUGGUGGACGUCUAAAGCACUCUCAGGUUCCAGCUGUUGAAAAGAACCCAAUAAUUCUGCCCAAACAUAGCCAUAUUUCGCUACUGCUCACUCGACAUCAUCAUGAGCAAGUGAAACAUCAAGGCCGUCAUUUGACGGAAGGAGCGAUCAGGGCAGCAGGACUGUGGAUCUUGGGAGGCAAAGCUCUAAUAAAUUCAGUACUCCACAAAUGCAUAAUCUGUCGCAAGCUACGUGGAAAGCUAGAAGAGCAACGCAUGGCGGACUUACCAUCUGAACGCCUCAAGACCUGCCCUCCCUUUACAUAUGUGGGACUUGAUGUAUUUGGACCCUGGUGCGUAACAACCAGACGAACCAGAGGAGGACAGGCGGAGAGCAAACGAUGGGCGAUCAUGUUCUGCUGUAUGAGUUUGAGAGCUGUACAUGUUGAGGUUAUUGAGUCUAUGGACACGUCAAGCUGCAUAAAUGCUCUCAGGCGAUUCUUCGCACUCAGAGGCCCUGCGAAACAGCUUCGUUCCGACUGCGGUAGUAAUUUCAUUGGGGCAUGCAAGGAGCUUGGAAUGGACAAAAAGGUGCAGAGGUACCUCAGUGAGCAAGGAUGCAGCUGGGAAUUCAAUCCACCACACAGUUCUCACAUGGGAGGCUCGUGGGAACGUAUGAUUGGUAUUGCCAGGAGAAUCUUAGAUUCGAUGUUUCUGCAGCUGAACACUCGCUUAACCCACGAAGUUCUUUGCACACUAAUGGCAGAAGUUACUGCUAUUAUUAAUGCACGACCACUCUUACCUGUGUCUGUAGACCCGGAACAACCUUUCAUACUCUCACCAUCAAUGCUCCUUACGCAGAAGACAGGAGUUCCACCUCCUCCUGGAGACUUCUCGGACAAGGACCUGUACACAAAACAAUGGAGACAAGUUCAGGCUCUUUCAAACCAGUUCUGGAUCCGCUGGAGCCGUGAAUACUUACCUUGCUUGCAACAGAGACAGAAGUGGACGGUACCUCGUAGAAACCUUCAAGUUGGAGAUAUAGUUCUGCUCAGGGAUAAGCAGGUAGCCCGCAAUUGCUGGCCCAUGGCUAGAAUCACUGCCAUAUUCCCUGGAAAGGAUGGACAUGUCAGAAAGGUUGAGGUAGUGACAAGUGAUCAAAAUAAUAUGAAAACCUUUCUAAGGCCAAUUGCAGAAGUUGUUCUACUUCUAACCAAAGACUGAUCUAAAGACUAAGGUUAGGCACUCUCAUACUGUAAAUCCAUAGUGACCUCACAUAGGUCAGGCGGGGAGUGUGUUGUCCUUUAAGGAAUUUAGAGUCAUGUGAUGAUGCCAUUUCCUAUUAAGUCACUUCCUGUUUGUCCUUCCUGGUACUGCAUGGAAACAAGGAGACAGACAUGGUGUGCUCUUGGUGUUGAAUCCACUUGCAUCCACCUUAAAGCAUCAUAGAGGCAAUGCUUUUUCACCUACAUGUAAAUGAGGAAGUGUGACAGUAAAUGAUCAACCUUACUACGACUCUGUCUUCAUUUGCAACGGUUUAACUUGGUGUUUAGUCAGAGUUUCAAAACCCUGCACGAGAAC